CCUGCGGAAGGAUCAUUAAAGAGUAAGGGUGCUCAGCGCCCGACCUCCAACCCUUUGUUGUUAAAACUACCUUGUUGCUUUGGCGGGACCGCUCGGUCUCGAGCCGCUGGGGAUUCGUCCCAGGCGAGCGCCCGCCAGAGUUAAACCAAACUCUUGUUAUUUAACCGGUCGUCUGAGUUAAAAUUUUGAAUAAAUCAAAACUUUCAACAACGGAUCUCUUGGUUCUCGCAUCGAUGAAGAACGCAGCGAAAUGCGAUAAGUAAUGUGAAUUGCAGAAUUCAGUGAAUCAUCGAAUCUUUGAACGCACAUUGCGCCCCUUGGUAUUCCGAGGGGCAUGCCUGUUCGAGCGUCAUUACACCACUCAAGCUAUGCUUGGUAUUGGGCGUCGUCCUUAGUUGGGCGCGCCUUAAAGACCUCGGCGAGGCCACUCCGGCUUUAGGCGUAGUAGAAUUUAUUCGAACGUCUGUCAAAGGAGAGGAACUCUGCCGACUGAAACCUUUAUUUUUCUAGGUUGACCUCGGAUCAGGUAGGGAUACCCGCUGAACUUAA
This 549-nucleotide unclassified non-coding RNA is filed under the name Metschnikowia sp. JSKim-2014. RNAcentral's name for it is "partial contains 18S rRNA, ITS1, 5.8S rRNA, and ITS2". The stretch from base 199 to 352 matches the Rfam family "5.8S ribosomal RNA". The record is from RNAcentral. Lineage: Eukaryota; Fungi; Ascomycota; Pichiomycetes; Serinales; Metschnikowiaceae.